Molecule: ribosomal RNA, 253 nt
Filed under: uncultured bacterium
Lineage: Bacteria
Description: partial 16S ribosomal RNA
Rfam family: Bacterial small subunit ribosomal RNA
Source: RNAcentral
UACGUAGGGGGCAAGCGUUAUCCGGAUUUACUGGGUGUAAAGGGAGCGUAGACGGCCAGACAAGUCUGAAGUGAAAAUCCAGCGCUUAACGUUGGAAGUGCUUUGGAAACUGCCGGGCUAGAGUGCAGGAGGGGCAGGCGGAAUUCCUAGUGUAGCGGUGAAAUGCGUAGAUAUUAGGAGGAACACCAGUGGCGAAGGCGGCUUACUGGACGGCAACUGACGCUGAGGCUCGAAAGCGUGGGGAGCAAACAGG